GAUACCCUAUUAUUGUAAAUGUAAAAUUAUACUAGAUUAGUAUUAGUUAAGUUCUUGAAAAUUAAAGAUUUUGGCGGUUUUUUAGUCUAUUCAGAGGAACCUGUCCUAUAAUCGAUAGUCCACGAUUUAAAUAACUUUUUUUAUAGUUUGUAUAUCGUCGUAGUUAGAAUAUUCUAAAAGGAUUUAAAUUUUCAAGAAUUAUUUUUUAAAAUAGAUCAGAUCAAGGUAUAGCUUAUAAAAAAGAAGAGAUGGGUUACAUUAAUUUUAAUUAUGAAUUAUUUUUUUAUAAAAAAUAUGAAUUUGGAUUUGAAUGUAAUUUUAUAUAUUUAGAUAAAAUGAUUAAAGCUCUAAAAUAUGUACAUAUCGCCCCGUCGCUU
This 377-nucleotide ribosomal RNA is filed under the name Saperda lateralis. RNAcentral describes it as "partial 12S ribosomal RNA". The record is from RNAcentral. Lineage: Eukaryota; Metazoa; Arthropoda; Insecta; Coleoptera; Cerambycidae.